UAUGUGAUCGUCUCUCGCAUAUCAAUAAGCGGAGGAAAAGAAACUAACAAGGAUUCCCCUAGUAACGGCGAGUGAAGCGGGAAGAGCUCAAAUUUGAAAUCUCAAAGGGUUUCCCUUUACGAAUUGUAGUUUAAAGAAGUGUUUUCUGUUGAGGUUUUGGUAAAAGUUCUUUGGAAUAGGACAUCAUAGAGGGUGAGAAUCCCGUAUUUGACCUUUACUUUCAACUUUGUGAUACACUUUCAAAGAGUCGGAUUGUUUGGGAAUGCAGUCCAAAAUGGGUGGUAAAUUUCAGUCUAAAGCUAAAUAUUGGCGAGAGACCGAUAGCGAACAAGUACCGUGAGGGAAAGAUGAAAAGGACUUUGAAAAGAGAGUUAAACAGUACGUGAAAUUGUCAAAAGGGAAGCGUUUGACACCAGUGUUGUUUUUCUGAAAAUCAAUUAAAGAACUGUUUAUGCUAAGUUGUUUAGACUUUAUCAGCUAUCUGUUUAGUUUUGAGCUUUUCUUUAAUGCACUUUUCAGUUAACAAGUCAACAUCAAUUUCUUUUGCUGUAAAAAAGCUUGAGGAAGGUGGCUUGAGAUUCGUCUUAAGUGUUUAUAGCCUCUUGCCUAUGCAGUCGGAGAGAUUGAGGUCUGCAGCGUAGAUCCUUCGGGGCUAAAUGCAUUUGUGCUAAGUUAUAGCAUUUUAUAGACAACUUAUUGACUAUGAUUUGUCUUGUAGCUUACUCGCUUAUGUUAUUUUACCUACGCUUAGGAUGUUGAUCUGUAGUGCGUGCGC
Molecule: ribosomal RNA, 775 nt
Filed under: uncultured Neocallimastigales
Lineage: Eukaryota; Fungi; Neocallimastigomycota; Neocallimastigomycetes; Neocallimastigales
Description: partial large subunit ribosomal RNA
Rfam family: Eukaryotic large subunit ribosomal RNA
Source: RNAcentral